GCAACUUGCCCCUGCUUAUUUCAUCAGGAUUAUUCAACUUUAUUCUUUUACUAAAAAAGUUUUCAUCAGAUCUCACUGCGUUUCAUCAUUUACUGAACCUUUCAGUCAUAAAUAGGGAACAGAGGUUCACCCAAUAACAAUGGUUAUUAUAUCCCUGAAGGUUACAAGAGGCAUGCUCACACAGGCAACACGCCCCUGCUUUUUUCAUGAGGAUUAUUCAACUUCAUUCUUUUACUAAAAGUUUUCAUCAGAUUUCACUGUGUUCCAUCAUUUACUGAACCUUUCAGUCACAAAUAGGGAACAGAGGUUCACCCAAUAACAAUGGUUAUUAUAUCCCUGAAGGUUACGAGAGGCAUGCUCACACAGGCAACACACCCCUGCUUUUUUCAUCAGGAUUAUUCAACUUCGUUCUUUUAUUAAAAAAGUUUUCAUCAGAUUUCACUAUGUGUUCCAUCAUUUACUGAACCUUUCAGUCAUAAAUAGUGAACAGAGGUUCACCCAAUAACAAUGGUUAUUAUAUCCCUGAAGGUUACGAGAGGCAUGCUUACACAGGCAACACGCCCCUGCUUUUUUCAUCAGGUUUAUUCAACUUCAUUCUUUUGUUAAGAUAAGUUUUCAUCAGUUUUUUAAACCAUGUGUUCCAUCAUUUACUGAACCUUUCAGUCACAAACAGAGAUCAGAGGUUCACCCAAUAACAAUGGUUAUCAUGUCCCUGAAGGUUACGAGAGGCCUGCUCACACAGGCAACAUGCCCCUGCUUUUUUCAUCAGGUUUAUUCCACUUCAUUUUUUACUUAGAAAAAGUUUUCCCACUCAAUCCAAAUUAAGUUAAACUAGAGCAAAAGGGACAACCUCAAGUAAAAUUAAUGCAGUUACGGGGAAGGGGAUGACAAGGUUCAUUUGGAUUAGCUUCAAAAAAACCAUUCAGUUUCUAGAUCUUUUUUCACAAGCCACCACUCUGUUUAGAUUAUUUGAAAAGCUCUAUAAACCAGAUUUUGUGAUUUAUCAAAACAAGUUAUCUAGGGCCAAGGUCAAACAGGAUAAAAAGGCCCCUGCAUUUUUCAUCAGGAUCUGCUAAGUAUAAAUCCAUGUAACCAUUGAUCAAUCAAACCAUACUCGAUC
RNAcentral lists this long non-coding RNA (1120 nucleotides) under Glycine max (soybean). RNAcentral's name for it is "long non-coding RNA (GMAX_LNC001087)". Lineage: Eukaryota; Viridiplantae; Streptophyta; Magnoliopsida; Fabales; Fabaceae. The record is from RNAcentral.